CUCCCCCCAAAAAUAUGAGAUUGGCUCAAAAAUCAUGAGAUUUUAUUUUUUUUAAAUAAUACACUUUUUGGGUUCUUUUAUUUUCCUUUUGGUUUUCGAGCCUUUAGGGUACACAUGGGUUACGUCUCCAUACUUUACUUUUCUCACCAUACUUUUAAAAAAAUGAAAGCUGAGAUUUUCUUGUAGUCAUAGUUCCAGAGGCUUUAAGGAAAAACACCAAAUAUCAUGAUGCUCACAAUACAAGGAUGAGAGCUGACAAUGCUGAAUUAGGGUUAGUCUGCUGGGGUUUAAUUUAGUCUCCUGUCAUGAAAAUUACGAAAGCUUCAACUUGAACUGCAGGGCUCAGCGUGGGCAUAUUUCCAGCAUUUGUAAACACCAUUAGAUUAAACAGUGUACACAGUCUUUAUGAAGGGGAAGCCUUUUUGCCUGCUUCAGAUGUUUCCUUAUUUCACAUGUUCCUUGGCUCGUGCUGGCUUAUUGUGAAUCUAUUUUUUUUUUUUUGUGACCUAUGCAGAGAUAAUGCUGUACUCGUGAUUUUCAGUUCAUAAAGACAGGACAGAGUUGUGGCUGUUCCAUGUGGAAUUAAGCUCUUCCUAGAUGCCCUGGCCCUACAGGCCAGCAGCUACAUGGGCCUCAUCUAUUACACCAGCCAUCUUGAGCUCACUCAGGAUCAUUUUAGUACUAGCCCCACAGUAGGAGUUCUUGGGAAUUUCCCAUGAAGGUUUCCCCGGAAAGUUGACAGUUAUUUUAUUACGAAAGCAAAAUCCUUUCUUUUCCCAUCCCUGGUUGAGCUGUUUGAUUUCUGUUUAUCUAAUUUCCUUCAUGCUGAAGAGUUUCCUGAGGAGAACUCCACCGUCCAGAUGAAAAGCCCUGAGCAGCAGCAGCAGAAAUUUCCCAAAAUGAAUCGUGGAUGAAAUGCCAAAUGGAAUAAGAAAUAUUGAACAAGCCUCUCAGAAGAUUAUGGCUGUCUAACUCCUCACACAGGGUGAUGGCUCAGAAACACACCCCACUCCACCCCCGACAUGUGACCUUGGGGGACAACUGCAGAGAGGAGCCAGAGACUCCAGCCAUCGGCAGCUCAGAAGUCCAGUCAAAGUGACCCUGGCUACCUCCACACCAACCACACCCUAUAUCACCUCUCUGUUUUUGGAGCGAGCAGAGGCAGCAGCUGAUGGAGACUGUCCUACCCUAUGGGAAACCUGGAUUUGGGAAGGAUUUUGAGAUUGUGUUGGCAGAGACAAAGCACAUCCUGGACAGGGGCCAGGGCUGCAGGAGUCAUGCCCCAAGUCUUUAGGCUGGAGGAUGAAGGGCACUUGCAUUUCUCUCUAGAACUCUGAAAGACUAUUGCGGAAAUACUAACAUGCAUUGCACAUUCCUGGACACCAUCCAGAGACGAAAGAACAUGUAUGUCUGGAACUCUCCGAAAAACCAGCCUUUCUGCCAGAUCGUGUCUGUGAAGUGAGUUGCACUGUCACACAAGGGAUAUGUGUCUUAGUCUAAGGUUCCCAGGCAAGUGGUAUCAAGGCAGUAGGGUCAGGCCAUGUGGUAGAGGAAAGAGUAACUCUUGCUGGCUUUCAAAGAAAUAAUAGUAAGGUCUUCAGAGCGUCAAUUCCAAUCUUCUUCAGCUGCAAGCAGAUAUGGCCCUGAUCCUGACAGAUAUUUGGGCUUCUCACUCCUAUUAAAAUCAAUGGAAGUUAGGUACCUACAGACCUUUGAAGAACUGGGUCCACAUCACUACACUAAAGUGGAGUAGAGAGUAAAAAAAGAGGGAAAGACAGAGCCAGUGGGGUGGCAUGGGUUAGUUAAGUGCAGAAUUUGUCUAAAUGUUUUUCCUAAGAGCUCAUUGCAGCCUAUUGACACGAGGUUGAUGUCCUACCAGACUUGCUCAAUGGCAGCCUGAGCAUUUUCAUGUCUGAACAAAUUCACAGUAAGAAUUUUUGUGGGCUAAAAAUAAAAGACUAGAUAUUUUGGUUUUGAACGAUGGGCUUUUAUAUAAACAUCCCCCUCAGAAGUUCAUAAAUAGUAAAGUAGAAAUUGCCUCAUUGGAUCAGACCCAUGGUUCAUCUAGUCCAGUAUCCUGUCUACGAUGCUUCAGAGGAAGAUGCAAGAAAUCCUGAAGUGGGCAUUCAUUGGGAAAGUUUCUUCCCAACUCCCAUGAAUUAGAGGUUGGCUUGUGCCUUUCCCAACUUUUGUGGCUUUUUAAAUUAAUCCUUACUAAUGCUGUACCACUGCGUGUUUUCUUUAGGCAUACAAGUGCCCAGUCCUCUUUGGAAUCCUACUAAAAUGUU
Molecule: long non-coding RNA, 2288 nt
Organism: Chelonia mydas (Green sea turtle)
Lineage: Eukaryota; Metazoa; Chordata; Testudines; Cheloniidae
Exons: 3
Source: RefSeq, a predicted model, not a curated record